AUUGCAUGCACUCCCUCCAGUACCGAUGUGAGGUUUUUCUGUGUUGGAUCAAAACCAAAUGCUGCUUUAUGUCAACUUCAGGAAGGAAACUGGCAAAUGCAUGAAGUCAGUCUCCAUGGUGCGCUUCCAUUCCAGGGACUGUACGAGAGGAAAAAAAGGUGCUUCAUAUCCCAACCAAAAGUAUUCUCUGUCUGAGGACCAUUGCCCAAGUGUGAAGUAGGAGACUUGUGCAAUUCAAAGGCACCCAUGCGAUGCUCGUGCGAAGCUCUUUUCUCAGCCAGGCACGACAGCAGUGACAUCUCCACCGUGCUUGUCCCACAUCUCCAGAAAGGUGGUUCCAGGUACAAAAGCUCAAGUGGACUGGAGGCUCCCAAAGCUUCUCCCCGUGCCAUCUCCCCACUGGCUGCUGGGUCCAGUGGUGGCCGCCCCUUGGGUACUAGGAACUCCUAGUUCUACAAUGAGAAGCUGCAAGGACCCCCAGAGGCCCAUGGACUGGAGCUGUUAAUGUCCUGCAGAUAAGAGCCACUCUCUCGCUGUGAUCACCAAGGUACCCAGGGCCUCCGGAGGCCACAAAGAAUGGAUAAUUGCAACCCACAGGCCUCCUUCAGAUUUCCUCCAAGCCCUUCUGGUCAGCAAAUACUCUAUGGCAAGUCUGGGGUUUGGUCUUUACUUCUGGUGCCAAUUAACUUCAUCUUCCUUUUCUCUUUGGUCCGUGGAAUUACUCUGCACUCUUUGCAAUGAUGUUUAGUAAUUCUUAUCGACUAUGGAGCAGCCUCCUGGGACCCUGCCAGCUGAUCUUAAAAAGCCACUUACUGCAGGAUUCCCACUGCUUUCCUGGGCUAGGAAUUCCUUAACCAAAGGCAAGUUUCACAGGAGAUCCUUGAGAAGGUGCCUCAUUAUUAAUAUUUUUGUGUUGAAAAUGUUCACUGUGGAAGUUGCUUACAAGGUGGGCCAGUGUGUUUGGGAAGAACAGGGUGGGCCUCGAGCAAACUGGGGGGCGGGGUGGGAUUCAGACUCUACUCCCUCCACCUUUGUCCUUCCCUCUUCUUCUUCUUGCUCACCUUCGGAAACCCCGGGCCCCCUUCCUGGCUGCAGCCCCUCGGGUCUUCUUCAUGCGUUGACACUGAAAGCUCUCUUGUGCUAAUUGCUGACUAGGCAUGAAUGCAUGGCAAUUGUUGGCUUGUUUCCUCUCCUGGAUCACUUUUUCCUCCUUUCAUAUUGGGUAGAGCCUUUCAUGUCUUAACAAGAGGGAGCCGGUCACAUGAGGUUUUGGGUGCACCAGUUGGGUGGGUUCUGAACUUCUGGCCCCCUUCCAAGUCUCAAAGUCUGGUUGACCAUGUGUGUUGGGCCAAGCUGUGCCUGGCUCUGGAACUGCCUCCAAGGAGGGGCAUCAGGCUGUGUGGUGGAGACAGUGACCCCUCCAGCCCCUGCUGCUCCAGCUGCAGCUGCAGAGUGUACAAGGGGAGAGUCUCUGGGGGUCAUGGGGCUCCAAGGGUGUAUUCAGAAAGAUGAGGCACCCUGUGUGAUGCACCUGCACCUAGGCUGAUGGGGACACCUGCAAGGACAGACUGGGGCAUUAAAUAGGUGGAGGGAGCUUUGCUUUAGAAAACACACACUGAGAAAGUGGAAUUUGCCAUCAGGCAGGCUAAGGGGUGUUCCACUUACUACACUUGGAGUCUUUCGCCCAAGAACUGAUGAAACAGUUCAGGAACAAAACCAGCCAGAUACGUUAAGAAGAAUGAUGCUUACCAACAUAGUAUGGGGUUUGAUGUUGACAACGAUUCACUGAUGUGUCCCCAGAUUCCCUAGAUGUAGGGGCAGAACUACCAGGGGAGAGACCAUGCUUCUUUGGAGAGAUUGAAUGGUACUCUCUAGGUCUGGAGCAGCGCUGUCCAGGGAACGUCACACUGGGAAUGUUCUUCCUCUGUGCUGUCCAAGAUGGUAGCUGAGCAUGCAGUGUGGUUAUUGCAACAGAAGAACUGAAUGUUGAUUUCAUUUACUUUUAAUUGAUUUAAAUUUAAAUCUGAAUGCCCGCGUGUGGCUAGUGGCUACAUGGUGGACAGUGCUGUCUAGACCAGUGUGCAGAGGUCAUAGUGGGGGAGGAACAUUGGAGGAAAAUGGAGAGGUGACCCUGGAGAGGUGGUGGGAACAGAUCGAGAGGACCUUGUAAGGUGUGUGAGCAAUUCGAGACUUGUCCCUGGGGAUGACAGGAAGCCACUGAAAGGUCUAAGCAGAUGAAUGAGCACUCAGAUUGAUAGCUUAAAAGACUUGGCUGGGUGCGGUGGCUCAUGCCUGUAAUCCCAGCACUUUGGGAGGCCGAGGCGUGCAGAU
Non-coding RNA from Macaca mulatta (Rhesus monkey), 2331 nucleotides. The record is from RefSeq and is a predicted model, not a curated record. NCBI's taxonomy places the organism in Eukaryota, Metazoa, Chordata, Mammalia, Primates, Cercopithecidae.